AAUUUUUAUCAUGCAGAAAAAAAAAAGUAACCUUUAUAGACAGAUUCUUAUGUCUUUUUGUUGAAUUAUUUGAAUGUGGGUCGCUAUGGGAGUAUGCGUUGAAUGGUGAAUAAUCUGCUAAAUAAGAAACCAGAAUGAGUGAGCAGAAUGCAGCUAAUUGACACGUUCCUCUGUUUUCUUAUGAAAUGAAAGGAUGGAAAACUAGAUUUUCAAAUGUCAGUUUGUAGGAAUGACAGUAUGAUAUUGAGUUUUAAUUUAGAAAUCUUCACUCAAGUACUGAAAUUCCGAAAUAAAGGAAAAAUGUCGUUGUAACCAUGAAAAUUGUAAAUGAAUCCCAUCCUAGGUGAUAAAGUUGGUUCAUAGCAUCAAAUGGAAUGUUAAAAUUAGAGUGUGUAGUAAUUCAAACUUGAAAAACGAGGAACGCUUGAAGUGAUUAGUCUUAUUGGUUAGACAUCGUUUGAAAAUUUGUUGUUCUACCCUAUGAGGAAUGGGGAACUUUUUUUUAACAUCUGAAGAAGAAAAAAGAAACGACAAAUAAAACACGCAUUAUUGUAGUGCAAAUGCUUUAGUAACAAUAUUUAUCUAUAGCCAAUCUCUAGCCAUUUUCUUGUUGGAAAAUAACAAUCUUGCUUGCAUUUUUCCAUAUAUUGAGUGAACUUCAAUAUUGGCUUCGUUUUUUUCUCCCUCCUGAUUUUCUUAUAGAUUACGGUUUUGCUAACAAUUGUAGGAUACUGUUUUUGUGGAAACCAGUUGUUCUUGAAAAGAUACAUGAUGAAUAUUUGAAAUGAUUAAGCAUCCUUUUUCACCAAGUGCUCUCUCUUUCUAGAUUCUAUACAUUUUUAUUUUGUAGCGAGAUUGCAGUUACAAUUAGUUUCAUAGUUUAAUCUGUUAUUCUAGAAAAAUGCUACUUAUCUUUUUAUUUUUGCUUUAUAAAACAAUAUAUUUAGCUUUCGUCUUCCAUUGUCAGCUUCAGGAUUCUGCUGUGCUAGUUUCUUCCUCGAACAUGAUGCAAUGUAAUUUAUCGUAGCACAAAUGCAAAUAAUUGACCCUUAAAAUAAAGUGGAUGAUGUUUUUCCGUCCUUUUACUUCUAAAUUGGCUCUAGCUCCGGCAUAACUAUAUACGAACAUUCUUUGAGAGUAAUGCUAAUUGUGCAGUUUGAUUCAAAUGGAAGGCAGUGCCUUACAACGUCUGGUUAUCGAGAAAUUGGGCAGAUAGUGCGUAGCCUGGCAGAUAAACACAGUGGUGGCCGCCUCCUUAUCGUGCAAGAGGGUGGAUAUCACAUAACAUACUCCGCUUAUUGCCUUCAUGCCACACUUGAAGGUGUGCUUAAUAUUCCUGUUCCUCUUUUGUCUGAUCCCCUAGAUACUUACCCUGAGGAUGAGGCCUUUGCUUUAAAAGUUGUUGAAUCAAUUAAACUGCAUCAAGAAGAAAAUGUACCAUUUCUAAAGUAACUUCAGACAAUGAUAUGUUCUACGAAACAUAGGUUUGCUUUCUAAUUUUUUGCCCGGAUAUAAUCUUAAUUUCUGUUGGGUUUUGUGUGACAAGUCUGCUUGUUAAUCUUGUAGUUUAAGGCAACCAUGCUAGUGUAAAAUCACUUGCGCGUUACGGUUUGAAUGAGAAAUAGGUUUUGGUUGAAAUUUCCAAAUGAUAUCGUAAUCUUAUUACCAAAAGCGAUGGUUGAAGAAGCAAUUCUUCGAAGAGAAAAAAGGUUAAUGCACUGUGAAAAAUGUUCUAUCAAGGGAUUACACAACCCUUUUGUAAAGACUGGGAAUCAAGCUCGGGAAGUGAAAGUAUUGACCUGAACGGAAGCUGGGGGAGUAGCCGUGCGGGUGAUCUUUGUAGGCAAGCAAAGUGAGAGUACUGAUUCAGACAAAGCAGGCACCCGGGUGAUCUUUGUAGGACAAACUCGGAAAAGUUAAAAGUACUGAUUCGACGAAAGAUGGGAAGCAUUGAGCCGGGUGACCAUUGUAGGCAAGCUCCAGGAGCUAUCGAGAUUGGGGUAACACUAGCAUACGCCAGGGUGUACUUCACCAUCAACUCAGCGAGCACGUUAUAAACGGGUGGGUCCCACUGGUCGGACGUACGCAACAUUUGCUCUGCCCCAAGAUGUCAGCGUCGUUUUCCGCGACUCGCAUGUGCGCAUGUUAGCGGAGCGCAGAGAGUGCCGCGGCCAUGCUGGAGGGAAGGGAGACAGAGUGGACCAAUGAGAAACCGCCAGCUAGGCAACGAGUGGAGAGUCUAAUUGGCACGUAGCCUUUGUAAUCAUCGGUGGCCUCCCGAGAAAUUCCGAAGUGAUUUAAGUACUGAGGAAAAAAGGCUGGCGCAUGUUAGCACGGGAGCAUUGCACAUGGCGCUCCCUCCCAUCAUGGUGCAUUCAUGGACCCUAUCUUAUAUUUUAAUUAAUCAUCCCAUUUCGCUUGUCAUGUCAA
Carica papaya (papaya) is the source of this 2430-nucleotide non-coding RNA. NCBI's taxonomy places the organism in Eukaryota, Viridiplantae, Streptophyta, Magnoliopsida, Brassicales, Caricaceae. The record is from RefSeq and is a predicted model, not a curated record.